This 415-nucleotide long non-coding RNA is filed under the name Olea europaea subsp. europaea. Lineage: Eukaryota; Viridiplantae; Streptophyta; Magnoliopsida; Lamiales; Oleaceae. The record is from RNAcentral.
UAGCAAUGAUUUUUGGCUCGUCUAACCUCUGUUAACACUCCAUAGGAAGACGAUAGCAAUGGAUGGCCAAGAACCCGACCUCUCAUAUCGUCUAGCUCUCUGUUCAAUCUAGCCAGAAAUUCAUAUGCUAUUUCGUUAUCCAGUCGCUUUUUGUACUGCAUAUUUCCAUGGGAAAUCCAACUCUUCUUCGAUGCUCAAGUCCAAUUCUUGCCAGAGGUUCAUCAUCUCCAUAUAAUAGUCGGUGACCUCUCUUUUUCCUUGUUUCGCUUCCACAAUUUGGCUUCAAUUUUGAAGAGUUGGAUGAGUCUUCUGCGUCGAAGUACAUCUCUCGAGCAGCUUCUCAUUUGUCUUUUGCAGUCGACAUGAACAGAUAAGCUUUACCAAUUGAGGGUUUCAUGGAGUUCACUGUUAUAUA